GGGUAGGAUGAAGGGACAGUCGUGGGACUGGGCCCAAGUUUCACAGUGAUACUCAGUCUUUUUCAUGAUAUCACAUAUACCAUAUUUUCCAGAGUAUGAGUCACACCUUUUUCUGUAUAUCAGGUCUUUAAUUUGGGACUUCUUUUUUUUAAAUUCUGU
Thalassophryne amazonica is the source of this 159-nucleotide long non-coding RNA. RefSeq lists it as uncharacterized. NCBI's taxonomy places the organism in Eukaryota, Metazoa, Chordata, Actinopteri, Batrachoidiformes, Batrachoididae. The transcript has 3 exons. The record is from RefSeq and is a predicted model, not a curated record.